RNAcentral lists this ribosomal RNA (230 nucleotides) under uncultured bacterium. Its description in RNAcentral is "partial 16S ribosomal RNA". It matches the Rfam family "Bacterial small subunit ribosomal RNA", at positions 562 to 791 of the family's 1533-position model. The record is from RNAcentral.
AAAGCGCGCGUAGGUGGUUCGUUAAGUUGGAUGUGAAAUCCCCGGGCUCAACCUGGGAACUGCAUUCAAAACUGACGAGCUAGAGUAUGGUAGAGGGUGGUGGAAUUUCCUGUGUAGCGGUGAAAUGCGUAGAUAUAGGAAGGAACACCAGUGGCGAAGGCGACCACCUGGACUGAUACUGACACUGAGGUGCGAAAGCGUGGGGAGCAAACAGGAUUAGAUACCCCAGU